Molecule: long non-coding RNA, 394 nt
Organism: Colletes gigas
Lineage: Eukaryota; Metazoa; Arthropoda; Insecta; Hymenoptera; Colletidae
Exons: 3
Source: RefSeq, a predicted model, not a curated record
UCGAAUAUCUUCGCGUCGCCCGUGGUCAUUUGUAAAGCGACACGAGCUGACGCAGAAUCUGUGAACUCUACCAUUGCGCAUUCGUCGCUGGCAGCCAGCUCUGGUCUUUUAGCAAUUGCUUGUCGCACCUGGUGAUCAAAAGGUUACACAAUUUGUGUGAUUGCAACUAUUAAAGCUCUUCGUGCCUCGUUCCUGUCCUUCGAGUUCAAACAUGGAAAUAUUCAACAUUUUAUGGCUCCGGUGGCUCCAUUCGUAAUGGUAAUUUGAGGGCUUCGAUUCUCCUAUUUUCAACUCGGACUACUAUACUCUUGCGAAACGAUAAUAAUUACCUCAGCUGGUGCGGGAUGGCCAGGUCGAAGAACUCUGAUAAGAGCGAUAUCCCCGCAUGGUCGAA